Molecule: ribosomal RNA, 276 nt
Filed under: Klebsiella planticola
Lineage: Bacteria; Pseudomonadati; Pseudomonadota; Gammaproteobacteria; Enterobacterales; Enterobacteriaceae
Description: Raoultella planticola partial 16S ribosomal RNA
Rfam family: Bacterial small subunit ribosomal RNA
Source: RNAcentral
GAUGUGCCCAGAUGGGAUUAGCUAGUAGGUGGGGUAAUGGCUCACCUAGGCGACGAUCCCUAGCUGGUCUGAGAGGAUGACCAGCCACACUGGAACUGAGACACGGUCCAGACUCCUACGGGAGGCAGCAGUGGGGAAUAUUGCACAAUGGGCGCAAGCCUGAUGCAGCCAUGCCGCGUGUAUGAAGAAGGCCUUCGGGUUGUAAAGUACUUUCAGCGAGGAGGAAGGCGUUGAGGUUAAUAACCUUAGCGAUUGACGUUACUCGCAGAAGAAGCA